GAGUAACACGUGGGUGACCUACCUCGGAGUGGGGAACAACAGACCGAAAGGUUUGCUAAUACCGCAUGCGCUCGAUGAUUCAUUUUGUCGAGCAAAGGCGCAAGUCGCUCUGAGAGGGGCCCGCGUCCCAUCAGGUAGUUGGUGAGGUAAUGGCCCACCAAGCCGAUGACGGGUAGCUGUUCUGAGAGGAAGAUCAGCCACAAUGGAACUGAGAUACGGUCCAUACUCCUACGGGAGGCAGCAGUGAGGAAUAUUGCGCAAUGGACGAAAGUCUGACGCAGCGACGCCGCGUGGGUGACGAAGGCCUUCGGGUCGUAAAACCCUUUUUCUGGGGACGAAUAAUGACGGUACCCAGGGAAUAAGUCUCGGCGAACUACGUGCCAGCAGCCGCGGUAAUACGUAGGAGGCGAGCGUUAUCCGGAUUCACUGGGCGUAAAGCGGGUGUAGGCGGCUCUUCAAGUCGGAUGUGAAAUCUCCUGGCUUAACUGGGAGGGGUCAUCCGAUACUGGAAGGCUAGAGUGCAGCAUAGGGAAGCGGAACUCCCGGUGUAGUGGUGAAAUGCGUAGAUAUCGGGAAGAACACCAGUGGCGAAAGCGGUUUCUGGGCUGUUACUGACGCUGAGACCCGAAGCGUGGGGAGCAAACAGGAUUAGAUACCUGGUAGUCCACGCCGUAACGAUGAAUACUAGGUGUAGGGGUAUCGACCCCCCCUGUGCCGCAGCUACGCAAUAAGUAUUCCACCUGGGAGUACGCACGCAAGUGUGAAACUCAAAGGAAUUGACGGGGGCCCGCACAAGCGGUGGAGUAUGUGGUUUAAUUCGAUGCAACGCGAAGAACCUUACCAGGGUUUGACAUCCUGCGAAUCUCUUGGGGUAAAUUCCGGAACCCCCCCUCCCGUU
Molecule: ribosomal RNA, 898 nt
Filed under: uncultured bacterium
Lineage: Bacteria
Description: bacterial SSU rRNA
Rfam family: Bacterial small subunit ribosomal RNA
Source: RNAcentral